AGCUCCAAUAGCGUAUAUUAAAGUUGUUGCAGUUAAAAAGCUCGUAGUUGGAUUUCUCGCCGGAGCGACCGGCCCGCCCUCAUCGGGUGUGCGCUCGCGUCGGCUCCUGCGAUCCUUGGGCAGAGGCGGCUUGCGGUUAGUUCCGUGGGCCGUGGAUGCCCAUCGUUUACUGUGAAAAAAUUAGAGUGCUCCACGCAAGCAAUGCGCCUGGAUAUCUCAGCAUGGAAUAAUAAGAUAGGACUGUCGUCGAUCUUGUUGGUUUACCGACGAAGUAAUGAUUAAUAGGGAUAGUUGGGGGUAUUCGUAUUUAAUUGUCAGAGGUGAAAUUCUUGGAUUUAUGAAAGACGAACUACUGCGAAAGCAUUUACCAAGGAUGUUUUCA
This 382-nucleotide ribosomal RNA is filed under the name uncultured eukaryote. Its description in RNAcentral is "SSU rRNA". It matches the Rfam family "Eukaryotic small subunit ribosomal RNA", at positions 587 to 972 of the family's 1831-position model. The record is from RNAcentral.